RNAcentral lists this unclassified non-coding RNA (271 nucleotides) under Hevea brasiliensis (rubber tree). Lineage: Eukaryota; Viridiplantae; Streptophyta; Magnoliopsida; Malpighiales; Euphorbiaceae. The record is from RNAcentral.
CGACGUUGAUUCUCCGAUUACCACCGCCAGAUUCGUUUCAAUCGUAUUUGAUUCGACGGUUCAUAUGCGCUGCAAUUUCAUCUGUUACCUCACUUAUUGCUUGCUCUCUUCUCCUCCCUAUUCAGUGGGGUAAAUCUCACCUUUCAGGUGUUUAUGGCAUCAGAUUGGAUCAUAUCUGGCAAGCUGUCGUCUUUCCUCUUACAUUGACUUCCUUAAUGUACGCUGGCACCUUCAUCCUCAAGGUGUUAUUGUUGAUAGACUCGGGCCAAGA